This 2196-nucleotide long non-coding RNA is filed under the name Malus domestica (apple). Its description in RNAcentral is "long non-coding RNA (MDOM_LNC006996)". Lineage: Eukaryota; Viridiplantae; Streptophyta; Magnoliopsida; Rosales; Rosaceae. The record is from RNAcentral.
UUGACUGCGCUUGUCCUUAGGAUAAGUCUCCCCUAUAUGCAAAACAACUAUAAAAAUGUUAAUUUAAAGCACAUAACCAAUAUUAACUAAUAACUUCUCAUACAUUGCUCAAAUGAGGUAUAUAAAUAUACCAUCGUGACCUACACAACUCCACGAACAUCCCCAUAUUUUUAAAAUAAUUUUUGGAGCCUUCACGCGUCGUCAUGCGCCGGCAAGGGCACAGCCCUACGCGCAGACACGCACAACGACCUUAACGAAAUCCCCUAACACCGUUAGGAAUAUUCCGUUAAAAGUAACAAAAACUGUUAAAACUAACCAAUGUCGUUAGGAAUAUUCCGUCAAAGUUGACAGAAUAUUCCGUCAUCCCCUACCUUCGAACUCCGGCGACCGUCGCCGUCACCGGAAACUGGAAAACUUUAAAACCUUCAUUUCUCAUCCAUUUCUCAACCAAUUUGCAUGAAACUUAAACCAAUUUAAAGCUUAAUACGAAUAGAACACAACCAUACCUUCCAAAAGCCCUAAAACCCACGGAAAUCACCGGAAAAUCCCUUAAUAAUCCGGCUAAACUUGCAACUCGUUGAAACUCAACUUUCCGACGUCCAAAUCACUUAAUUUUUCUUCUCCGAGCUUCGUGAAGACAAUCUAAAGCUUCCUAUGCCCUUAAAAACUCCUAAAAACCUCACAAUAAUUAGUGCAUGAACAGUACCUAAAUCGGAGCUCGUGAGAAACUAGGGUUUUCGAAGGUUUUAAGUCCAAAUAAAGGUAUAAAUCAACUCCUAGGCAUGCAAACAGUUUGAAUGUUACCUUUAAAACCUCGAUCCGUGCCUGAGAUGGAAGGCUUGGAGUUCGUCCGUACAAAGUUGAUGGAAACAAAAGAAAAUCGAGAAGGAGGAGAGAGAGAGAGUGCACGGGAAUGAGAGAGAAAGGGAGUUGGAGUGUGUGUGUGGUCCAAAAUUGUUUGACUUCCAAACAACCACAAAACCAUAACAACUUUAAGUCCUAAUUGGUUCCAAAUAUCAGGGACUUAAGGUAUUAGUUCACUUCCAAACUUAAAUCACACAAUCACACAAAACGUCCGAGGGCAAAAUAGUAAUUUCACACCGUCAAAACUAAAUAUUUCGGGACGGGCUGUGACACACAAUAUAUUGGAGAGUAUAAUUUAUAUUUUAAUAAUUUUAAUCCACAAAUUAUGGAUUUUUUUAUUUAAAAUCACAUUAAUACAAACAACUUUAAAUUUAAAAUUUUAAUUUAAAAAAUAUAGUAACCUACAUAGAAAUACAUUAUCACAUUAAUUUCAGGGACUUCGAUCAAAAAUUGAAAACCAACAAAGGUUUUAGUCAAAGAAUAUUGAUAAUUUGAGACCGCAUCCAAAGUGUCCAAAAAAAUUAUGUAGACAAUAUGGUGUGGCAGUUGAUUGUUGGAUUUCUUAUUUAAAUCAUUAAAGAAGUAUCCAAUCAUCAAUGAGCAUAUCAUAUGGUCUACAAAAUAUGGUCUGAAAACAUGGUUUUCCUCGCACUUUCCAUUUAAUUAUAUGGUAGGAAGGAAGGUAUAAAUUUGAAUGAAACAAUGAUAUAUUUACAAUAAAGGUGAGAAUUUCAACUAAUUAAAUUAUGGGCAUGCCAUAUGAAUUUGAAUUUAAAAAUAGAUUCAAACUUAAAAGUUAAAAGAGAAUCAUCAUUAAACAGUACUAUUAAGCAACUUUAAAUGAGUUUAAGUGAACCAUUUCACAUGAAGUUCGUGUUAAGUUGCAGCUGAUUCAAUCUAAUCAGAAUCGGCUUAAGUGUUCGGUAAUCCAAAAGACAACUUGAAACCCCAUUAGAAUAUUACAUAUAUAUUAUAAUAAGCAUAUAAGUGGAACCUUACAAGAGCACUCUCAAUCCACAAAUAAAACUCAAGCAAAAUAGCAAAAGAAGCUCAUUCCUGUUGUAAACAUUCCUAGUUUAAGUAUGAUUGUGUAAAUCCUAGAUAAGAUUUGAUUCUAGUUAUCCUUUCCUAUUACAACUUGUAUUACUUGGAGGAGAAGGAAUAUCUUCUCUCCCUUUACUACUAUAAAUAAAGGCACAAUGUAGGAGGGAUAACAACAUAUACAUUCCCCUACAAUUCUACAAACACACAUCUCUCUCCUCUCUCUCUCUGCCGCCGGCCCUAGUCUUUCUGUCAGAUAAAAAUAGACCACAACACGUUAUCAGCACGCUC